RNAcentral lists this long non-coding RNA (259 nucleotides) under Chrysolophus pictus (golden pheasant). RNAcentral describes it as "lncRNA (ENSCPIG00010000776.1)". The record is from RNAcentral. Lineage: Eukaryota; Metazoa; Chordata; Aves; Galliformes; Phasianidae.
AGACUAUAACUACUGUAAAACUGUAUGGUGACAAAAUGAGGAGUCUGAAAUCUCAAUUAGAAGCUUACCGAGAGCUGAUGAACAAGAACAGCCAAUACUGGCAAAAUACAGCUAAGAGCCUGAGGGAAAUUAACAGUCAACUGAGCCAGGAGAAAGAAGAUCUUCUUCAUCAAAUGAAACAACAAACAGAGAAAUGGGAAGAAAAAAAGGUCAGGAUCCUUGAAAAUCUGUCUAAAAAAAUCAGUCAUCUUUACACCCA